ACGAACGCUGGCGGCGUGCUUAACACAUGCAAGUCGAGCGGUGAAGCGCCUUCCUUUUUGGUGGGUGUGGAUGAGUGGCGAACGGGUGAGUAACACGUGAGUAACCUGCCCCCUUCUUCUGGAUAACCGCAUGAAAGUGUGGCUAAUACGGGAUAUUCUGGGUCUGUCGCAUGAUGGGUCUGGGAAAGAUAUUGUUUCGGUGGGGGAUGGGCUCGCGGCCUAUCAGCUUGUUGGUGGGGUGAUGGCCUACCAAGGCGGUGACGGGUAGCCGGCCUGAGAGGGUGGACGGUCACACUGGGACUGAGACACGGCCCAGACUCCUACGGGAGGCAGCAGUGGGGAAUAUUGCAUAAUGGGCGCAAGCCUGAUGCAGCGACGCCGCGUGAGGGAUGGAGGCCUUCGGGUUGUGAACCUCUUUCGCCAGUGAAGCAGGCCUGCCUCGUUUGUGGGUGGGUUGACGGUAGCUGGAUAAGAAGCGCCGGCUAACUACGUG
This 493-nucleotide ribosomal RNA is filed under the name uncultured bacterium. RNAcentral describes it as "partial 16S ribosomal RNA". It matches the Rfam family "Bacterial small subunit ribosomal RNA", at positions 29 to 507 of the family's 1533-position model. The record is from RNAcentral.